This is a small nuclear RNA of Otolemur garnettii (small-eared galago), 106 nucleotides long. Lineage: Eukaryota; Metazoa; Chordata; Mammalia; Primates; Galagidae. The record is from Ensembl.
GCGGUCCCUUCUGCAGCACCUGUACUCAAAUUGGAAUGAUACGAUGAAGAUUAGCAUGGCCCCAGAGCAAGGACGUCAUCCAAUUCCUGAAGUGUUCCAGUGAAAA